GAGCAUUUAGCUUGGAAGUUGGUUUCUCAAAGUUACCCAACGCCAAUAUGAUGAGCGAUUCCCAAAGCCUUCCUGGGCGCACCACGUCAUUUCAAGAAAACUACAAGGAUAUAUUGGGAAAAUAACGUGGGGCCCAUAUCGUCACUAUAUCAUAACGUGGCAUCGAGUGACAACCACAGGAAACACCAAACGGGUUCCUUCCUCGAUAAGUAACCACACCGUACAUAUUAC
This 231-nucleotide unclassified non-coding RNA is filed under the name Hevea brasiliensis (rubber tree). Lineage: Eukaryota; Viridiplantae; Streptophyta; Magnoliopsida; Malpighiales; Euphorbiaceae. The record is from RNAcentral.